RNAcentral lists this ribosomal RNA (450 nucleotides) under uncultured bacterium. Its description in RNAcentral is "bacterial SSU rRNA". It matches the Rfam family "Bacterial small subunit ribosomal RNA", at positions 354 to 796 of the family's 1533-position model. The record is from RNAcentral.
GUGGGGAAUAUUGGACAAUGGGCGAAAGCCUGAUCCAGCCAUGCCGCGUGUGUGAAGAAGGUCUUCGGAUUGUAAAGCACUUUAAGUUGGGAGGAAGGGCAGUAAGUUAAUACCUUGCUGUUUUGACGUUACCGACAGAAUAAGCACCGGCUAACUUCGUGCCAGCAGCCGCGGUAAUACGAAGGGUGCAAGCGUUAAUCGGAAUUACUGGGCGUAAAGCGCGCGUAGGUGGUUUUGUAAGUUGGAGGUGAAAUCCCCGGGCUCAACCUGGGAACUGCCUCCAAAACUGCAUGACUAGAGUACGGUAGAGGGUAGUGGAAUUUCCUGUGUAGCGGUGAAAUGCGUAGAUAUAGGAAGGAACACCAGUGGCGAAGGCGACUACCUGGACUGAUACUGACACUGAGGUGCGAAAGCGUGGGGAGCAAACAGGAUUAGAUACCACAGUAGUCC